RNAcentral lists this ribosomal RNA (563 nucleotides) under uncultured organism. RNAcentral's name for it is "bacterial SSU rRNA". It matches the Rfam family "Bacterial small subunit ribosomal RNA", at positions 338 to 895 of the family's 1533-position model. The record is from RNAcentral.
CCUACGGGAGGCAGCAGUGGGAAUUUUGGACAAUGGGCGCAAGCCUGAUCCAGCCAUGCCGCGUGAGUGAAGAAGGCCUUCGGGUUGGUAAAGGCUUUUUCAGUUGGGAAGAAACGAUUACAACUAAUAAUUGUAAUUAAUGACGGUACCAUCAGAAUAAGCACCGGCUAACUCCGUGCCAGCAGCCGCGGUAAUACGGAGGGUGCAAGCGUUAUCCGGAAUCACUGGGUUUAAAGGGUGCGUAGGCGGUUGUAUAAGUCAGGGGUGAAAGGAUGCAGCUUAACUGUAUAAUUGCCUUUGAUACUGUAUGACUUGAAUAAGGUUGAGGUUGGCGGAAUGUGACAUGUAGCGGUGAAAUGCUUAGAUAUGUCAUGGAACACCGAUUGCGAAGGCAGCUGACUGGGCCUUUAUUGACGCUGAGGCACGAAAGCGUGGGUAGCGAACAGGAUUAGAUACCCUGGUAGUCCACGCCCUAAACGAUGUAUACUCGUUGUUUGAGAGUAAUUUUGAGCGACCAAGCGAAAGCGUUAAGUAUACCACCUGGGGAGUACGCCCGCAAGGGU